Molecule: ribosomal RNA, 460 nt
Filed under: uncultured bacterium
Lineage: Bacteria
Description: partial 16S ribosomal RNA
Rfam family: Bacterial small subunit ribosomal RNA
Source: RNAcentral
CCUACGGGCGGCAGCAGUGAGGAAUAUUGGUCAAUGGACGAGAGUCUGAACCAGCCAAGUAGCGUGAAGGAUGACUGCCCUAUGGGUUGUAAACUUCUUUUAUAUGGGAAUAAAACGUUCCACGUGUGGGAUUUUGUAUGUACCAUAUGAAUAAGGAUCGACUAACUCCGUGCCAGCAGCCGCGGUAAUACGGAGGAUCCGAGCGUUAUCCGGAUUUAUUGGGUUUAAAGGGAGCGUAGGUGGAUUGUUAAGUCAGUUGUGAAAGUUUGCGGCUCAACCGUAAAAUUGCAGUUGAAACUGGCAGUCUUGAGUACAGUAGAGGUGGGCGGAAUUCGUGGUGUAGCGGUGAAAUGCUUAGAUAUCACGAAGAACUCCGAUUGCGAAGGCAGUUCACUGGACUGCAACUGACACUGAGGCUCGAAAGUGUGGGUAUCAAACAGGAUUAGAUACCCGAGUAGUC